GGAUUAAAUGGAUUUAACUGUAAUUUUAGACAAAAUAAGGUUAGUUUCAGGAGACUUUGCAUGAGGAGUUUUAAGAAGUUAAACAAAGCACACCAAUGCAAUGGAAUUCCAUGGUGGUUGCCUGGUGGCAAAAGGAAUAAGCAGCUUCCUAGCUCAGCACAGUAAUCAGUGGCCAUUAGGCUAAAAGAAAUAAAAAGAUACAGAGUUCACCUAGAGUUUUUAUCAGCAUUUAGUGUUUCUUGACUGAAAUUACCUUAUAUUAGUAAAAAAAAAAAAAAAAAAGAAAGAAAGAAAGAGAAGAAAAUAAAAGAAAUCCAAAUUUGCGUUAGGUCUUCUAGUGGCAAAUCAAAGCAAGUGUUGAACAAUACAGGUCAGGAAGAAAUAAAACAAAAAAUCUGCAAAACAAAAACAGCAUCACUUUACCCAAAUAAUUCAGAUUAACAUACACCAGCAUCGCUGGGCGAUUACUCUGUUCCAGGCAGCCGCAGGUGGAUCUUCAUACAAGGCCAGAUUUCUACCACAGUUCAGUCUCAGAGUUUAACACUUCUCUAACAGCCACAUAGAACAGACAUUCUUCAGCUAGGAGUUUGAAGGCUCCCCAGUCGAGCCUCACAAUUGCCCACCCAAUCCUUUCUACCUCUGGGAUGCCCAUGCACCAGCAGGAAUUCAGCAGAGCCAGGCUCCAGGGGUAAGAACUCUCACCCUGCCAACUCCAGGCUCUGUCAGAAUCACCAUUUGAGAGCAUUGGGUAAGGAUCACAACAGCCCCUCCUCAGGUCUUCCCCGGGGCAUUUCCCGUCUUCUCAGUGAACACAAAUGAAUUCCCUUCUUCAUACCUAAAUAAGGUAGCUGAUCGACCUGGCACUAAAAAGGUGGACUAAGGCAAAAAGGGCAAGAGCGAGAAUGGGAAACGUUCUUUGGAGCCCCCAAACAGGAAACACAUUUACUUUUUGCAUUUCUGCAGACAUUCAAAACAAUUCCUGAACAUUAAGAAUCGUGCACCCAUUUGGAAUAAUUGAAACUGAAAUGUGAAAGGAAUUACAUUUCACUAAUCCAUUUACAAUGGUAUGAAUUGCUUCUCAUAGCCAACUGCCAGAUGGGCUGCUUUAUUUAAUAACUUGAAUGCUAAAGUUCCCCCAGGCAAGGAGACAGUUCUACCACCAACUGUGGAAUUUUCUUUCCCUUUCUCCUUUUUCUUGAGGUGGCCUGGCUUUGGUCCAAAACUUCCUGAGUUGUCAGCCAACAGGAGUACCUGCUCGCCUCUUCCCGUUCCAGCCGCCCAGGC
RNAcentral lists this long non-coding RNA (1284 nucleotides) under Papio anubis (olive baboon). RNAcentral's name for it is "lncRNA (ENSPANG00000041037.1)". The record is from RNAcentral. Lineage: Eukaryota; Metazoa; Chordata; Mammalia; Primates; Cercopithecidae.